UCGCAGCCUCGUGGAAGAGGAUUUGGCAGCGUCUAACAAAAAACUAUGUGGCAUUUGCCGUUUGACUCAGCAAUUCUAGAAUCUGCCUCAAAAAAACUCUGGCAAAGAAAUGAAAGGACUUUAUGCACAGAGUUCUUUUCACAGCCUGAAUGUGUUUACAACAAAGUUCUUCACUGUGGCAUUUGUAAAUGUAGGGAAAAGAGAGAUCAAACUGUUACUGUGUCUGUGUAGAAAAGGAAGACAUAAGAACUCCAUUCUGAUCUGUACCCUGAACAACUGUUUUGCCCUGAGAUGCUGUUAUUCUGUAACUUUGCCCCAACCUUGAGCUCACAGAAACGCGUGUUGUAUGGAAUCAAGGUUUAAGGAUCUAGGGCUGUGCAGGAUGUGCCUUGUGAACAAUAUGUUUACAGGCAGUGUGCUUGGGAAAAGUCAUUGCCAUUCUCCAUUCUCGAUAAACCAGGGGCACAGUGCACUGUGGAAAGCCGCAGGGACCUCUGCCUAGGAAAGCCGGGUACUGUCCAAGGCUUCUCCCCACUGAGAUAGCCUGAGAUAUGGGCUCGUGGGAUGGGAAAGACCUGACCGUUCCCCAGCCCGACACCCGUGGAGGGUCUGUGCUGAGGAGGAUGAGUGAAAGAGGAAGGCCUCUUGCAGUUGAAAUAAGAGGAAGGCCUCUGUCUCCUGCCUGCCUCUGGGAACGGAAUGUCUCGGAAUAAAACCCGAUUGUACAUUUGUUCAGUUCUGAGAUAGAAAAACCACCCUGUGGUGGGAGGUGAGACAUGUUGGCAGCAGUGCUGCUCUGUUACUCUUUACUCCACUGAGAGAUUUGGGUGGAGAGAAGCAUAAAUCUGGCCUACGUGCACAUCCAGGCAUAGUACCUUCCCUUGAACUUAUUUGUGACACAGAUUCCUCUGCUCACAUGUUUUCUUGCUGACCUUCUCCCCACUGUCACCCUGCUGUCCUGCCGCGUUCCUCUUGCUGAGAUAGUGAAAAUGGUAAUCAAUAAAUACUGAGGGAACUCAGACCGGGGCCAGUGCGGGUCCUCCGUACGCUGAGCGCUGGUCCCCUGGGCCCUCUGUUCUUCCUCUAUACUUUGUCUCUGUGUCUUAUUUCUUUUCUCAGUCUCUCAUCCCGCCUGAUGAGAAAUACCCACAGGCGUGGAGGGGCUGUCCCCCUUCAUUCUAUAGUUAUUAUAAAUGUACAGGAACGUUAAAAGGAACGUGUUUGUAUAAUGCCACUCAGUAGCCCAGGAAAUGACCAAUCUGAUGUGUGUUAUAAUCCAUCCAAGCCCCCUGCAACCACCAUUUUAAAAAUAAAAUUAAAAACUGGUCCUUUCCUUGGUGAUACAAGUAAAAUAAUAACUAGAACAGAAGAAAAAGAAAUUCCCAAACAAGUAACUUUAAAAUUUGAUGUUUGUGCAGCCAUUAAUGGUAACAAGCUAGAAUUAAAUGUAAUUCCCUUAACUAGGAAAAGAGCUACACAGUAAAAAAUAAAUGUUUGUCGUAAGUCAAGGGUCUGUGAAAAUUGUGCCUAUUGGCCAUGUGUUAUUUAGGCUACUUAAAAACAGGACAGAAAGGACCCAGUUCACCUUCAAAAAGGGGCAACCAAUCUCUCCUGGAUCCCGGUCCCUGUAACCCACCAAACGGAUAAUCUCUAACCCCCUGGAUCCCGGUCCCUGUAACCCACCAAACGAAUAAUCUCUAAUCCCCUAGAUCCCCAUUGGAAGAAAGGAGAACAUGCAGCCUGUUUCAAGCCUUUUAUGACGAGCUGAAUCGGCCAGCACCAAAGCUUCCAAAAAAGACAGAGCCACACACACCUUGCAUCACCCAGGUGGGGAAAAUGAGCUGGGCUGUGGGUGCUGGGAAAGCCGUGCCUGCAGUCCCCGUCAGAGGCUGCACUGCACAGGGAGCCGGAGAGAAAGGUGGAGAGGCCUCCUGAACGGGGCUCUGGGUAUCACAACAGCUGGUGCCUUCUGGUCAGGACGCAUGGGGUCUGCACCGCCGGCUCCAGGGAGGUGGCCCGCUGACAGUGAGUUAGUGUUCAGGGUUCUUGGUCCCAUCCCACACAGACAAGACUGCCCAGCCACAUAAACCAAGGAGCGAGAGUUCUCCAGAUUGUGUGUCUGGAGGCCAAGUGGGUCCCUUGUCCUGCAUCUAAAGCCCUGACCCCAUACCCCCCACAGCCUGCCCUGAGGUGGGUCCUGGCACAUGGUUGCUGACUCCAGGACAGGGGACAUGAGCCCACAGUGUGGGCCGCCCCUAGCCAUCCUCCGGGGCUGGCCAUGGCCAUGGGUGUGGCACUCUCGGGGCCCAGUAUGCAGCAACGGAGGCCACAAUGACGGGAAUCUCCAGUGUGGUCGGGCAGGCGCCCAGGCCUUCCCUGGCUCCAGUCCAUUGUCUGCCAGUUAUGUUCCCCAGGGGCCACCCGAUGCCUCUGGCACUCUCCGUGCUGGCUGGGAAGACCAGCGCUGGCCACUUGGCCGUGGGCAGCCUCCUCCUGGCACUAGCAUGUGUCCCUCCCUCUGUCCUCGCUGUGCCUGCCACGUCUGCUCAGCCACAUAGCACCGGAGUGUCCUCGCCUCUCCAGCCUCCCAACCUGGUGAGCCUCAAGGGCAUAGAGCUCUGCCCACCAGGCUGACAUACCCCAAGGGGGGACUGACUGGACUCAGGACAGUCCCGGCUCAUGGCAACCUUGUUGUCCACCUGGGCUCCUCGGCCUGGGUGAGUCCUUACUGGGGAGAGGGCUCCUCUGCCCUCCAGCUGAUGGGUGUGUGCUGGGGGACACAGGUCAGGAAGCAAAAGCAGAAAAACCAGGGAGGGGGCGUGAGAUGUGAAGGCGAAGAGGGGUCCUCCCCUGGCCAGUCUGUGUAGCCAGCUGCCCCUCACACCCCAAAGCCAUGCCCAGGAGCAGCCCCCCUGCUGUGUGUCCAGGAGGCAGGGCGCUGACCCCACUUCACCUUCCCCUUAAUCCAGCCGUGACCCUGCCCCACGCCGGGAUGCGCUGGGAUGGCUUGGGGGCAGCACCCUGCACAGCAGCUCUGGCUCUAAGCUGCACAAUCGGAUGUCCUGCACAGUCACCUGCUAAUCCAGGACAAGCCGGUGGAGGUCACUCCUCUGGGCAUGAGUCGCCACCCUGCACCCUGCAGGACAGGUAGCCCCACUCAGAGCCUUGGACAGAGGGCGGCGCUGCAUGGAGGGGCAGCCGGAGCCAGACUGAGAGCAAGGGGGCCAGAUGGAGGCAAGAUGCAAAGCAAAGCCUGGAAAUUCAGACGACACCGGGAACCUCCUGCACUCUCUUAGGUUCACCAGCGGACAGACCCGCCUGUGGAUGGACUCACCCUUGUCCUCUGGGUCCUGCCUGUGCCCAGGACUCCCAGGACCUCGGAGGGAUUUCUUCAAAGCACUGUGUUGAUUUUAUAAUUCACCUGCUGGGGAGAGUUGGCUUAAGGGAUGUUCUGAAAUGAACAAACAGCCACCGUCGCCUGUGAAGAGCCACAUGUCGCCCCUCCCAUCCCAGCUCCGAACUUCUGCGAGGUUCUCCCCUGCCUGCUGAGCUCCCUCCCUUGCGGCACUGGGGGUGGCCCCUCCUCCCAUGCUGCAGGGGCCUCCAGAUCCCAAGGGGCAGGCCCAACUCCCUGAGAAACUCAGGGACCAGUGGCCACUGUCUCCUUGGGGACAAGGGUUUGUCCAGAAAAUGUGGGCAGGAUGGGCAGGAUCUGAGACAGGCCUCCAGGUGCCGAGGUCACAAGCCAGUCAGCCCUAGCAGCAGGUGGUCACUGCAACACAUCAAGGCUCUUGUGACUUCGAGUGUGGCCCCUGGGAAAGGAACCAAAUGGGCCGACUCAGUGUGGCCCCUGGAAGAGGAACUGAAUGGGCUGACUCAUGUCUGAGAUGCCGGUCAGCCUCUCUCAACCUCGGGCCUCGCUGGGAGGCCAGACACUGGGCCAGGAUCCAGAGGGUGGGAGGUCACAGCUCAGAGAACGGGGGAGAAGUG
Long non-coding RNA from Piliocolobus tephrosceles (Ugandan red Colobus), 3990 nucleotides. RefSeq lists it as uncharacterized. The record is from RefSeq and is a predicted model, not a curated record. NCBI's taxonomy places the organism in Eukaryota, Metazoa, Chordata, Mammalia, Primates, Cercopithecidae. The transcript has 3 exons.